This is a long non-coding RNA of Uranotaenia lowii, 1022 nucleotides long. RefSeq lists it as uncharacterized. The transcript is spliced from 4 exons. Lineage: Eukaryota; Metazoa; Arthropoda; Insecta; Diptera; Culicidae. The record is from RefSeq and is a predicted model, not a curated record.
GGUUCCAUCGGGGGGAGAAUGUUGGAAAACUGGCCACCGUGCCAGUCCGCGGUUGUUCAAAAGUCGCUGAGAAAUAACAGCGAAAACUAAACGUCAUCGUUGCCGCCAAAAGUGACCGCACGAGGAAAAUUUUCACUUCUGUUAGCCAUUUUGUAUCGAGUUGCGUACUGCGUAGAAGCAGAAUUUAAAGUGAAACUUUAAAGUGUUCCGUUUUGCCAAAUAUUGUUAUUUUUUCGGGUUAUAAGUGUAGGAUCAUUAUCAGGCGAAACGCUGAAUUGAUUGACCGAUCAUCUCUGUUGAACAGAGCGCUAAAAGUAGGAAAUCGGACUCUUUGCUCUCGAUACGAGGUUGAACUGAGUUGUAUUAGGGCCGGAAUAGCUAGGGUCACUGAUUUAAUUGAAGCAUCACUACCAAACUAUAAAUUUAGUCUGCUAUCAGUACCAGUGCAUCGCUUUUUCAUUUGCCGCCCUAUCACAACAGUUGGAGAACUUGAAUUCAUUGAUGUAAUCAUGAUCAAGGAUGUUUAUUUGGAUAUUUUGAAGCGGAAACUACCAGCGUCUGCACAAAAGCUAAAGAUGGGGCGCAGAUAUACGUUCCAACAAGCCGGAGAUCCGAAACACACCUCAAAACUGGUUUCUCAAUGGUUCAAAGAAAAGCGUAUCGAGGUUAUGGAGUGGCCAGCACAGUCUCCGGACCUUAAUCCGAUCGAGCAUCUCCGGUCAAUUUUGAAAAUUAAUGUUCAGGAGCAAAAACCAACAAGCAUCCAGCAAUUGCAACAGGUAAUCUCAACUGAAUGGGACAAAAUCACCCCGGAAACAACCGCUAAGCUUGUUGAAUCGAUGCCACGACGUUGUCAAGCAGUUAUUGAAGCCAAAGGAGGUCACACGAAGUACUAAAGCUAUGUGAGCCAGAGGGGUGGAUAAACUUUUUUUGCGUUAUUUUUUAUCUUUUUUUUAACAUCAUAUCUCAAAUGCAACAGAAUAUGUUUUUUAUUUGGAACUUGAAUGAAUUGACUUUGUUUU